UAGGGAAUCUUCCACAAUGGACGCAAGUCUGAUGGAGCAACGCCGCGUGAGUGAAGAAGGUUUUCGGACCGUAAAGCUCUGUUGUUGGUGAAGAAGGAUAGAGGUAGUAACUGGCCUUUAUUUGACGGUAAUCAACCAGAAAGUCACGGCUAACUACGUGCCAGCAGCCGCGGUAAUACGUAGGUGGCAAGCGUUGUCCGGAUUUAUUGGGCGUAAAGCGAGCGCAGGCGGAAGAAUAAGUCUGAUGUGAAAGCCCUCGGCUUAACCGAGGAAUUGCAUCGGAAACUGUUUUCUUGAGUGCAGAAGAGGAGAGUAGAACUCCAUGUGUAGCGGUGGAAUGCGUAGAUAUAUGGAAGAAUACCAGUGGCGAAGGCGGCUCUCUGGUCUGCAACUGACGCUGAGGCUCGAAAGCAUGGGUAGCGAACAGGAUUAGAUACCCUGGUAGUCCAUGCCGUAAAACGAUGAGUGCUAAGUGUUGGGAGGCUUCCGCCUCUCAGUGCUGCAGCUAAACGCAUUAAGCACUCCGCCUGGGGGAGUACGACCGCAAG
This 548-nucleotide ribosomal RNA is filed under the name uncultured bacterium. RNAcentral's name for it is "partial 16S ribosomal RNA". It matches the Rfam family "Bacterial small subunit ribosomal RNA", at positions 355 to 892 of the family's 1533-position model. The record is from RNAcentral.